AAAGUCGUAACAAGGUAACCGUAGGUGAACCUGCGGUUGGAUCAUUACUGAUUUCAAUCUCUGUCGAGUUGAUACCGAAAGGAGUCCUUGACAGGGAUGAUACACCCCAUGUGAACUGUAUUGUUUUUGGGUUGUUGGAAGACUUCUGUCAACCAGCGGCCCGUCAAUAAACCCCUUAAUAUUUAUCUGAAUCCUAUGAAAAUAGAAACAACUUUUGACAACGGAUCUCUAGGCUCUC
Molecule: unclassified non-coding RNA, 238 nt
Filed under: Chytridiomycota sp.
Lineage: Eukaryota; Fungi; Chytridiomycota
Description: partial contains small subunit ribosomal RNA, internal transcribed spacer 1, and 5.8S ribosomal RNA
Rfam family: Eukaryotic small subunit ribosomal RNA (bases 1-47)
Source: RNAcentral